This 301-nucleotide ribosomal RNA is filed under the name uncultured bacterium. RNAcentral's name for it is "partial 16S ribosomal RNA". It matches the Rfam family "Bacterial small subunit ribosomal RNA", at positions 509 to 807 of the family's 1533-position model. The record is from RNAcentral.
CAGCAGCCGCGGGAAUACGAAGGGGGCUAGCGUUGCUCGGAAUCACUGGGCGUAAAGGGUGCGUAGGCGGGUCUUUAAGUCAGGGGUGGAAUCCUGGAGCUCAACUCCAGAACUGCCUUUGAUACUGAAGAUCUUGAGUUCGGGAGAGGUGAGUGGAACUGCGAGUGUAGAGGUGAAAUUCGUAGAUAUUCGCAAGAACACCAGUGGCGAAGGCGGCUCACUGGCCCGAUACCGACGCUGAGGCACGAAAGCGUGGGGAGCAAACAGGAUUAGAGACCCCCGUAGUCCCUGUCUCUUAUAC